Long non-coding RNA from Aquila chrysaetos chrysaetos, 1937 nucleotides. RefSeq lists it as uncharacterized. The transcript has 2 exons. The record is from RefSeq and is a predicted model, not a curated record. NCBI's taxonomy places the organism in Eukaryota, Metazoa, Chordata, Aves, Accipitriformes, Accipitridae.
UCUUCCCUCCUUUCCCUUCAAGCUUUUAACGGGGUUUAACACAACCUGCUCAGGGGCCGGCGCUUCGCCUGGGCUUUGCCCCAUCCAUCCCGUUGGGCGGAGGCCGAGGAAAGCCUCUACCCAAGAAUCCCGGUCCUGCCCUGUGUGUAAACGCUGACGGGUUUCACCAGGAUUUAUCCCAACUUGGCAGGUACUUGACCCCGGAGUUUAACUUGAGCUCCGUAGAAUCGGGAACCUCACUUUAUGAAAACAUUUUAGGCCCAUAUAACACUGUAUAAAUAUCGUGGGUUAAUAGUUUGAUCAUAUCAACUGUUUAAAGACUUUUUUUCCCCCCCUCCUGAUUUAAUAAGGGGAGGAGGGAUGGCUGCUUUCCCAAUGAUUUCCAAGCAGCUGGAAACAGUGGUUUAUGUUUAGCCCUUUGCUUGCUAACAAUCCACAGGUGAAUAUUUGAUUUCUGUCAUAACUGAAAUUUGUAAAAAUCUAGGACUUUUCUUCACACUAAAAAUAGCCAACACAUGCUAGUGAAGGGUUUGUAACAGUCUUAACUUGCCCGAGUACUCUUAAGUCCAGGCUUGGCAGUAUUAGUGAAAUGAGUGUCAGAAGGUGUUGUGGAAAGCUUGCUAGUCACCUUCCUCACUUCAUGUGUCCAGCAAAGGAGAAAUACAGGAGGAAUAAUUUGCAUUCAAUUGAGACUUCGUUAGGAAAAUCACUGUGCUCCGUUUCAUGCUUCUAGGGCUGUGAUCCUGAAAGUGUUAUGGGCAUUAGUAGGCGCUGUGGCAGAUUUGCUGCUAUCAGGCUGUUCUGUUUAACUCCUUUCUUCAUUCUGCCUGGCUGCAGUAUGUUCAGAAGCUUUUUCCUUCGCCAGUUGUCAUCUUGCAUGCCAGGCCUGAAGUACGUGAGCUCUUCACUAACACAACCCUUUCAUUGAGCAAUUAUGUCUGUCAGCUUUUCUUAUAUAAAUUAUUUUCUUUCCGUUAUUUAGGUUUCAAAAUCACUUGAAUGUAUUGAAGAGAAAAAAUGAUGGAAGCUACUUGACUUAGUAUACUAAGUGGGGGAAGUUCACAAAUGGCCAAAACUUGGCAUCUACUACUAAUUGAUUUUUGGAUUAUUAAAAAAAAAAAAAAAAAGACUGCUUGCCACUUGCUUAUGAAAGUCCGAUUUAAGUGAUUGUGAUCAUUUUGUCCCAAGAACAGGUGGGCACAUGCCUGGGAAGGAAUUGUGGUGUGGAAGGAAGGUGGAAGGCUUCCUUCUAAACUGCAGUGUGAUCCCCUAUACUACUGGAGAAAGCAUGAAACUGUUUACAUUAGUGCUAGAAAUUAACACAUCACUUAGGUUUAUCCAUAGUUGCAGUCUAGGCCUUUUUUUACAUACUCUGUCUUUUCUCUAUUAUGAAACAGAGACUCCUUAGGAUGUAUGGACCAUUGAACAGCUGAGUAAAUUGUAUUUGUACACAUGUAUUUCAAGUACUAGUAACCACCAUAAGACCCCUGCAUUUAGUACAUUAUGUGAUUUUUUUUUUUUUUAUCAGCUUGCUUCAAUGAGAUCAACAUAUGCAGUAUUACUAGAAUACAUACAGUUUGCAGUUUGCUGCAGCUCCUGUGCUUUCCAUAUAUCUCACUCACAUCAUUGGAUCGUGGGUUCAAUCUCUCAGAAGAGUACAUUUCCCUGAACUCCUACUCUGACUUGGCACUGAAAUGGAAUGUGGGUUAGUUGUCUGGGAUGCUUCAUAUUUCAAAACUAAGGAAAAUUAUGGUUGACUUGGAUGCUCCCAGCAUUUGCCUUUCACUUAUGUUAUUCUGACCUGUUGUACUUUUUGCACUCAAGAAAUGUACUGUGAAAUUCUUAGAGACAAAUAUUUGGCCAUUCAGUUUUGAAAAUCUACCUAAAUGUAUUUUUCUUAAGGAACCCCUACAUAAAAUAAAAAUUCAAGUAAGCAA